This is a long non-coding RNA of Eptesicus fuscus (big brown bat), 618 nucleotides long. RefSeq lists it as uncharacterized. The transcript is spliced from 5 exons. Lineage: Eukaryota; Metazoa; Chordata; Mammalia; Chiroptera; Vespertilionidae. The record is from RefSeq and is a predicted model, not a curated record.
GUUAGAAUUCUCUGAGGAAGAAAUGCCCCAUCCUGCCUCCCAUAAUGAGGGCAGGACCAGGAGGGGCUUUACAGGGAGACUGAGGACUCAGGAAGUGAACACCCUGAGGGAGAGGAGGGGCGUGUAAAUGCCUCUGCCGCAGCAGCAGCAGCAGCCGCCACCGCCGCUGCUGCCAACCUGUAGAAAGAAAGAGACGAGAGAAGGUUCCAAGGUCGUCACCCUGAGACCUUUCCCGUGGAGUAGAGCAGAGUUUUCCCGGCCAGGCAGGUGGUAUCUAUUUUACAGGUACAUAAACUCAAGGCCCUAGAGAGAAAAGGAGUUCAGCCCCAGCCAGAUUAUUUGGAUAGAAGGAAACAACAGCUUAAUGUAAAGUGAAGGAAAUUACUGGUAAUUUUAAAAAUAACUUCUACUGAAAAGCUCUCUGGUUCUCCUUGUGGUCAGGAACCCAGACCAGAAUGUGGAUUUAUUGGUCCUUAUCAGGCAGGACCUCACUGGACCUUACAGCUACAUAGUACUCAUGAAAUCUGGCUGUUUCUCUCCAAGUCCAGAGUGAAACAUCUCAAUUCAGCAGAUACCUGUGUGUCUUCUCUGGGCAAAGCAAGCCUGGGGAUAGGAGAU